UGGGGAAUAUUGCGCAAUGGGCGAAAGCCUGACGCAGCGACGCCGCGUGAGGGACGACGGCCUUCGGGUUGUAAACCUCUUUCAGCAGGGACGAAGCGCAAGUGACGGUACCUGCAGAAGAAGCACCGGCUAACUACGUGCCAGCAGCCGCGGUAAUACGUAGGGUGCAAGCAUUGUCCGGAUUUAUUGGGCGUAAAGAGCUCGUAGGCGGUCUGCCACGUCGGAUGUGAAAACUCGGGGCUCAACCCCGAGCCUGCAUCCGAUACGGGCAGACUCGAGUGUUGCAGGGGAGACUGGAAUUCCUGGUGUAGCGAUGAAAUGCGCAGAUAUCAGGAGGAACACCGGUGGCGAAGGCGGGUCUCUGGGCAACUACUGACGCUGAGGAGCGAAAGCGUGGGGAGCAAACA
This 407-nucleotide ribosomal RNA is filed under the name uncultured bacterium. RNAcentral describes it as "bacterial SSU rRNA". It matches the Rfam family "Bacterial small subunit ribosomal RNA", at positions 355 to 774 of the family's 1533-position model. The record is from RNAcentral.